Molecule: transfer RNA, 72 nt
Filed under: Acavomonas peruviana
Lineage: Eukaryota; Colponemida; Acavomonidia
Description: tRNA-Cys
Rfam family: tRNA
About the family: Transfer RNA (tRNA) molecules are approximately 80 nucleotides in length. Their secondary structure includes four short double-helical elements and three loops (D, anti-codon, and T loops).
Source: RNAcentral
GGUUAAAUAGCAUAAUAGGUAGUGCGGAAAAUUGCAAAUUUUUUGGUAAGGGUUCAAGUCCCUUUUUAACUU